AGUGAACGCUGGCGGUAGGCCUAACACAUGCAAGUCGAACGGCAGCACAGUAAGAGCUUGCUCUUACGGGUGGCGAGUGGCGGACGGGUGAGGAAUACAUCGGACUCUACUUUUUCGUGGGGGAUAACGUAGGGAAACUUACGCUAAUACCGCAUACGACCUACGGGUGAAAGCAGGGGAUCUUCGGACCUUGCGCGAUUGAAUGAGCCGAUGUCGGAUUAGCUAGUUGGCGGGGUAAAGGCCCACCAAGGCGACGAUCCGUAGCUGGUCUGAGAGGAUGAUCAGCCACACUGGAACUGAGACACGGUCCAGACUCCUACGGGAGGCAGCAGUGGGGAAUAUUGGACAAUGGGCGCAAGCCUGAUCCAGCCAUACCGCGUGGGUGAAGAAGGCCUUCGGGUUGUAAAGCCCUUUUGUUGGGGAAGAAAAGCAGCAGGUUAAUACCCCGCUGUUCUGACGUUACCCAAAGAAUAAGCACCGGCUAACUUCGUG
This 492-nucleotide ribosomal RNA is filed under the name uncultured bacterium. Its description in RNAcentral is "partial 16S ribosomal RNA". It matches the Rfam family "Bacterial small subunit ribosomal RNA", at positions 29 to 507 of the family's 1533-position model. The record is from RNAcentral.